CGGGCCUGGCGCGAUUGGAUGAGCCACGUCGGAUUAGCUAGUUGGCGGGUAAAGGCCCACCAAGGCGACGAUCCGUAGCUGGUCUGAGAGGAUGAUCAGCCACACUGGAACUGAGACACGGUCCAGACUCCUACGGGAGGCAGCAGUAGGGAAUAUUGGACAAUGGGCGCAAGCCUGAUCCAGCCAUGCCGCGUGAGUGAAGAAGGCCCUCGGGUUGUAAAGCUCUUUUGUCCGGAAAGAAAAGCGCCGGGUUAAUACCCUGGUGUCCUGACGGUACCGGAAGAAUAAGCACCGGCUAACUUCGUG
Molecule: ribosomal RNA, 306 nt
Filed under: uncultured bacterium
Lineage: Bacteria
Description: bacterial SSU rRNA
Rfam family: Bacterial small subunit ribosomal RNA
Source: RNAcentral